RNAcentral lists this ribosomal RNA (497 nucleotides) under uncultured bacterium. RNAcentral's name for it is "partial 16S ribosomal RNA". It matches the Rfam family "Bacterial small subunit ribosomal RNA", at positions 28 to 507 of the family's 1533-position model. The record is from RNAcentral.
GAUGAACGCUGGCGGCGUGCCUAAUACAUGCAAGUCGAGCGAACGGACGAGAAGCUUGCUUCUCUGAUGUUAGCGGCGGACGGGUGAGUAACACGUGGAUAACCUACCUAUAAGACUGGGAUAACUUCGGGAAACCGGAGCUAAUACCGGAUAAUAUUUUGAACCGCAUGGUUCAAAAGUGAAAGACGGUCUUGCUGUCACUUAUAGAUGGAUCCGCGCUGCAUUAGCUAGUUGGUAAGGUAACGGCUUACCAAGGCAACGAUGCAUAGCCGACCUGAGAGGGUGAUCGGCCACACUGGAACUGAGACACGGUCCAGACUCCUACGGGAGGCAGCAGUAGGGAAUCUUCCGCAAUGGGCGAAAGCCUGACGGAGCAACGCCGCGUGAAUGAUGAAGGUCUUCGGAUCGUAAAACUCUGUUAUUAGGGAAGAACAUAUGUGUAAGUAACUGUGCACAUCUUGACGGUACCUAAUCAGAAAGCCACGGCUAACUACGUG